UUUUUAGAAUAUGUAAGUCCCAUAACAUAUUUGAGACAUACUUCUACUAAAA
This 52-nucleotide microRNA precursor is filed under the name Marmota monax (woodchuck). Lineage: Eukaryota; Metazoa; Chordata; Mammalia; Rodentia; Sciuridae. The record is from RNAcentral.